Molecule: small RNA, 465 nt
Filed under: Histoplasma capsulatum var. duboisii H88
Lineage: Eukaryota; Fungi; Ascomycota; Eurotiomycetes; Onygenales; Ajellomycetaceae
Description: Histoplasma capsulatum H88 hypothetical RNA
Source: RNAcentral
UGGGAUAUAUCGCCCGUUGCUGGGUGAUUGGGAUCCGUCCUGACCUCCCCCGCCAUGCGCCACGUCCAUGCGAGAGUCGGUGAGGGCUCGGGAUGUUGGCUCGAUGUUGGCUCGAUGUUGGCUCGAUGUUGGCUCGAUGUUGGCUCGAUGAGCCCGAGUCCCUACCUACAAACUUAAGGGAAGAGGGGAUGAGAGAUAUUUCGCUGAUGAUAUCACUACAGUUCUUGAAAUUCUUCGAUUAUUGAUUCCGGAGAGCUGCACAGCUUAGACUUGGAGUCUUCAGUGGUUUCAGAGAUAUCGAUCCUAGUUGGUGUCCUCGUCAAGCCUAAAAGUCUACUCCCCGCCUAAAAAAUGCUUGGCGCGGGGACGGCUUCGAAAUUUGCCUUUCCUGGCACCGCUGUCGCUGUCACCCCUCGCUUGGGGUGCCAUCGAGUUCGGUUGGUAGCUCUCCUCGGUUGGUCCUUG